GCCCCUAAGCUGUUGUUUGUGAACCAUAUUGAAAUUCGUGAGAGCUUGAAAAUGUCUCCCAAAUACAUGCUAGUGUUGUUGAUAGCAUUGGUUUUGGCAGUCUCGUCCCUUUCCCAUGGUCCAGUACACGGUUCAGUACACCCAAGGCCUCAUCCUCCUCCAAAAAUUACUCGAUACUCCGCGCCACAUAUACAUAAACCAAAACCACCAAACGUGGCAACAACAAACACCUAUGCAGCAAAGAAGCCUCCAACUAAAGGUUGAACUGUUAGGCUAUGAUCAAAGGUUUUGCAACGUCAAGGGAGUAUAUUACAACAGUAAUCGCAAUUUGAAACCUUGACUAGAGAUACUUUAAUGGCAUAUAGUAUUAAUUAAUGGUCAGUGCUAUGAGUAUGCAUGUAUGAUUAAAUAAUAGUUAGUUAGGAGUUUGUUUGAACUGUUGUAAUACCUUGUUAUGAGAGUCUCCAUCUGUGUGUUUUGAUUUCCACUUAUAUGCAUAGUUUGAUGUGUUCACGAUGUGCUCUCUCUUUUGUUUAUGUUUGUACAACAUUCUAAAGGCCACAAGAUAAGACAUGAGAGUUAAAUUGUUAAAUAAAAUUAAACAAGAUCGUGAUAAGAUAAUAAUAUGAUAAAUUCUUAAACUAUUCAACUUUAGAUACUAGAAUUUAGGUUUAAUUUGGGUCGAACCUAGCUUCAUAAAACUGGCUUAAAACUAUUAAGAACAUAUUAGAAUUUUUAAUAUCCGUCUCUAACAUAUUAGGAUAUUUAAUUUCCUAUAAUUGAUAACCAGAGACGGACUUAGAGACGGAUUUGUGACAUCAUCUGAAUGAAUUUUUUGGUUUCUAGCUUCCGUCUCUGAAAACGUUAGAUAAGGACAGACACGGAAAUAUAGAUGUUUUGUUUCCAUCUCUAAGUUCCGUCUUUAUAUCAAACUUUUCUAGUUGUUAACCCAUACCAAUAAUCUUUUUUGAAUUUCUUCAUGAGAAAGACUCGUGUGUUUUUUUUGCUUUAUCAAUUCUAUUUUCUAAAUUCCCAAAACAAGUCUUGUUCAACCACUUCAAAUUUUGUUUGAGAAUUUUAAGUUUUUCUUUGAGCACAUGUACUCUAGCUUGAAAUCUGCAACUUUUUCUAUUUAGUUUCCAUAACCUUUACAAAAACUUUACUUAUAAAAACUAUAUAUUAGUAAUCUUGAAUCUAAGAGACUUAAAGUUUGUUUCUUAAUAAUUUCUUAUCAUUGAAAUUUUUACGUAUAAAGGACCUAACUAUUGAGGGACCAAAAACCAGAUUCCAUAUAAGUUACAGCAUUUUUUGUGAGGGGUCGAUAUAAGUCACCCAAUUAACAUCGUGCAAAAAGACGCUAAUAGAAGGGUUAUAUGUCGUUUCCAUAAGUUAGAAACACAUUUUUAUUAGAAAAUUUCUGACAAUAAAUGUUAUAUGUUGUUUAUGGUACAUUUUACAGAGAGGAGUGUCCUAGGGGACAGGGAAAAAAGGUGGAACCAUGAAAAUUCAUUUUCACGCCCAAAUUAAUUAUCCAAGCACAAGUUAGUAUUAUUCAAAUUCCAAAAUAAUUAAUUGCAAUAGCUAUUAACAGUACACCAACAUGAAGCUGACAAAUUGGUUUUGAGGAUGCACCCUGAACUUAUUGCAUGUCUUCCUAUUGCGGCAUGGUAAUGAAAACUGGGCGCGGUUGAUAGAUAAGAACAAAGAAGUUAUUGGAAGGGCUGAUACGUGUUAUGGUUACAACACAGAUGGAGGAAAUACCCACAUGCAUGCAGGCAUCCUGGUUAUGCAUUUGAACUCAAGGAAGGUUACGUCAAUUUAAACCUCGAAAACAAUCGAGUUAUGACCCAUUCUUGGAUGGGAAUUCAAUGAAAGGUGUUGAUUUUGCACGUGGGGGGAUGAGUUUUACUUGGUAAACAACACCCAUCACAAACGUAACCUCCACUCUGAUUUCACCACUUCCAUGUUUGAUUUAUUAAAUAAGUGUUUGUACUUUAGUAUCCAUGUAUUUUUAUAAUGUUUAACUUAAUUUGUCACAUAAUAAGUAAAAGCUAUAGAUAUGCAAUUAGGAACUUUUAAAACCAAAUCAAAACAGUUUGUAAAUCGUAAAAUCCAUUAAAAAAAUAAAAAAUCAUAAAAAUAUAAAAUAUAAAAAAAAAUCGUAUCUUUUUUUUGGUUUGGUUAGUUUUUUAAUUUUGUUAAAAAAAAUAAACUAAAUCGGACAAAUCCACGAUAAAUAUUGAAUAAUCUUUUCAUUUGUUUUAUAAUUAAGAUAUAUAGAAAAUAGUAAUUUUUAACUUAAAAAUGUUAAAAAUAAAUAAAAUUUAUUUUAAAAGUAAUAUAAGAUAAUAAUGAUAUAACUUUAAUUGAAAAACUUUAAUUUAUGAUAAUGAAUUAAAAAAUAAAAAAACUGUAAAACCAAAUUAAAUCAAAUGAUAAAAAAUUAAUUUGAUUUGAUUUAGAUUUAAUAUAAUAUUUAAAUUGAAUCACAUUUUUAUUUUAUAUUUAAUUUAGAUGACUAUUUAUUUAAAAAAAAAAAACAAACAAACAAACAAAUUAAACCAUCCGACAAAGACUCACAUUUACAUAACCGCUUACCUGUAAAUGCCGUAUGCAAAUGCAG
RNAcentral lists this long non-coding RNA (2623 nucleotides) under Glycine max (soybean). Its description in RNAcentral is "long non-coding RNA (GMAX_LNC001692)". The record is from RNAcentral. Lineage: Eukaryota; Viridiplantae; Streptophyta; Magnoliopsida; Fabales; Fabaceae.